Molecule: long non-coding RNA, 400 nt
Filed under: Prunus persica (peach)
Lineage: Eukaryota; Viridiplantae; Streptophyta; Magnoliopsida; Rosales; Rosaceae
Description: long non-coding RNA (PPER_LNC001140)
Source: RNAcentral
AAAUUUCAAUAACUUAAUUGAGUGGUCAAAUGAUAUCGGAUUCAAGUGAUUUUUUGUAGGGAUGAUCUUUGAAUGAGUAUCUACAAAAUAGACGGUUUGGAUUAGUGAAAUAUAAUCCGGAGUGGGGCCUACAAGGGGUGUCCCUCAAAUAAGCUUAUUUGAGGGAUCCCUCAAUGGAAGCUCUCUGUAUAAGUAUAUAUACAUAUAUGUGUAUAUAUAUUAUACCCAUGUAUGUAUUAUAAUAUACAUAUACACACGUAUAUACACAUAUACAUUAUAUAUUUAUACUAUAUGUAUAUAUAUUAUAAUAUACAUAUAUACAUGUAUAUUAUUAUUAUAACAUACCCAUAUAUAUUAUCUAUUAUAAUAUACAUAUAUAUGUAUAUGUAUUAUACCCAUG